Molecule: ribosomal RNA, 254 nt
Filed under: uncultured bacterium
Lineage: Bacteria
Description: partial 16S ribosomal RNA
Rfam family: Bacterial small subunit ribosomal RNA
Source: RNAcentral
GACGAACCGUGCGAACGUUAUUCGGAUUCAUUGGGCUUAAAGAGCACGUAGGCGGCGACAUAAGUUGGAGGUGAAAUACUGUCGGCUCAACCGCGGAAUUGCCUUCAAUACUGUGUUGCUUGAGGAGUUUAGGGGCGAGUGGAACUUCCGGUGGAGCGGUGAAAUGUGUUGAGAUCGGAAGGAACGCCAGUGGCGAAAGCGACUCGCUGGGAAUUAUCUGACGCUGAGGUGCGAAAGCCAGGGGAGCAAACGGG